RNAcentral lists this ribosomal RNA (217 nucleotides) under Bacillus subtilis KCTC 1028 = ATCC 6051a. RNAcentral's name for it is "Bacillus subtilis KCTC 1028 partial 16S ribosomal RNA". It matches the Rfam family "Bacterial small subunit ribosomal RNA", at positions 1324 to 1533 of the family's 1533-position model. The record is from RNAcentral. Lineage: Bacteria; Bacillati; Bacillota; Bacilli; Caryophanales; Bacillaceae.
AGCUGGAAUCGCUAGUAAUCGCGGAUCAGCAUGCCGCGGUGAAUACGUUCCCGGGCCUUGUACACACCGCCCGUCACACCACGAGAGUUUGUAACACCCGAAGUCGGUGAGGUAACCUUUUAGGAGCAGCCGCCGAAGGUGGGACAGAUGAUUGGGGUGAAGUCGUAACAAGGUAGCCGUAUCGGAAGGUGCGGCUGGAUCACCUCCUUUCUAAGGA